UGGGGGAUAACGUCCGGAAACGGGCGCUAAUACCGCAUACGUCCUGAGGGAGAAAGUGGGGGAUCUUCGGACCUCACGCUAUCAGAUGAGCCUAGGUCGGAUUAGCUAGUUGGUGGGGUAAAGGCCUACCAAGGCGACGAUCCGUAACUGGUCUGAGAGGAUGAUCAGUCACACUGGAACUGAGACACGGUCCAGACUCCUACGGGAGGCAGCAGUGGGGAAUAUUGGACAAUGGGCGAAAGCCUGAUCCAGCCAUGCCGCGUGUGUGAAGAAGGUCUUCGGAUUGUAAAGCACUUUAAGUUGGGAGGAAGGGCAGUA
RNAcentral lists this ribosomal RNA (318 nucleotides) under Pseudomonas aeruginosa. RNAcentral describes it as "bacterial SSU rRNA". It matches the Rfam family "Bacterial small subunit ribosomal RNA", at positions 137 to 457 of the family's 1533-position model. Lineage: Bacteria; Pseudomonadati; Pseudomonadota; Gammaproteobacteria; Pseudomonadales; Pseudomonadaceae. The record is from RNAcentral.